GAUGAACGCUGGCGGCGUGCCUAAUACAUGCAAGUCGAGCGAACAGACGAGGAGCUUGCUCCUUUGACGUUAGCGGCGGACGGGUGAGUAACACGUAGGUAACCUACCUAUAAGACUGGGAUAACUUCGGGAAACCGGAGCUAAUACCGGAUAAUAUUUUGAACCGCAUGGUUCGAUAGUGAAAGAUGGCUUUGCUAUCACUUAUAGAUGGACCUGCGCCGUAUUAGCUAGUUGGUAAGGUAACGGCUUACCAAGGCAACGAUACGUAGCCGACCUGAGAGGGUGAUCGGCCACACUGGAACUGAGGCACGGUCCAGACUCCUAAGGGAGGCAGCAGUAGGGAAUCUUCCGCAAAGGGCGAAAGCCUGACGGAGCAAAGCCGCGGGGGGGAUGAAGGUCUUCGGAUCGUAAAACUCUGUUAUUAGGGAAGAACAAAAGUGUAAGUAACUGAUGACGGCUUGACGGUACCUUAUCAGAAAGCCACCGCUAAAUACGUG
RNAcentral lists this ribosomal RNA (497 nucleotides) under uncultured bacterium. RNAcentral's name for it is "partial 16S ribosomal RNA". It matches the Rfam family "Bacterial small subunit ribosomal RNA", at positions 28 to 507 of the family's 1533-position model. The record is from RNAcentral.